This 67-nucleotide non-coding RNA is filed under the name unclassified sequences. The record is from RNAcentral.
CGAGAAUAGAGCAGCAGGUUGGUAGUUCCUGCACACGUCAAUCGCGACGGGAUCUUCCCAGCCACGG